Molecule: unclassified non-coding RNA, 246 nt
Filed under: Hevea brasiliensis (rubber tree)
Lineage: Eukaryota; Viridiplantae; Streptophyta; Magnoliopsida; Malpighiales; Euphorbiaceae
Source: RNAcentral
GUUUGUAGUCUGCUUAGCAACUCUUUCAUGAUUAUCUUGAUUUCUCAUGUUCCCAAUGUUAUUAACCAAAUCAUUUUCAAAAAAUUUGUGCUAGUUAAAACUUCUAACGUCAGUUUGUGAAAUAUAGAUUCACGUGCAUGGUUACUUAAGGAAUAAUCUGACUAAAAUAAACCUUAAUUGGAUGCCACUUGAGAUAAGACAUGUGAAUUGCUUCCUCAGAAAUACUGCUCAAAUUCAUUUAUAAAA